CAGCCUGAGUGGGGCUACACAUCUCACAGACCCUUAAGGGAACAGAUUGGUGAGACCUAGUAUGACAGAAAAGGUGCAGAUCUUCUGUCCUUCCAGAACGUCUAUCUCUGGAUAAGUAUCCACUAGAACAACACUGCUCAAGGAGUCCCAUGGAAGGAUGUUUAUGGUGGAAUGAGCCAAACUGCCCAUCGCCAGGGAAAGGGGGAAAUGGUUUUCCUGCCUGGGAUGGAGAACAUUUCAUUAAAGGAACCCAGAGAUGUGAAAGGAGGGAAGGGAACCCUGGCAGGACUGAGAAUGGUUCUUGGCAGCUCCAAGGUGCCAUCCAAUGUUUGCUUCCUGUUUGCCGAUGAGCCGCGAGCCAAAGCAAGCAACGUGGCCAAGCCCAGAGUCAAUAUGGGAGAGCCUGGACACUGGGUAAUAUGACUCACUGCAGCCAUUGAUGGAACAAGUUAGCACACAUGCCUCUCUCAUCCCACUGGUGAUGUUGAUGUUGACGACUGGCUCGGAAGAGAAAUUCCUUUACCGUGACACGUGAGCACUUCGUUUCACUCAGGGAUGAAACUCUGUCCCUAAGUUACCAUGUUACCUAUGACUCAGUUAAACUCCUUUGGCCACCUCAGUACCCAAAUGGCUGUUACUUCCUGUGUGCUUCCGAGUUUUCUCUGUCCAAGCUCGUCAGCGGUUUUUACCAUGUCUGCGUCUCCACGUUUGUGGCUCUUUGUCUCUCACCUCCUGGGGCCAUUGGAUUCUUCCUCUUCUUCUCCCCAUUCCUUUGGCUUGGCUAAAACACCCGCAGGAUGGAAGGGGCAGAGGAAAAGGAAUUGGGAAAGAGGAUACUUCAGAGUCAAUGGAGAAUUCAAGGAUCAGACCCUUCUCGGUGGGCCGUUAGAUAUCAGGAAAAGUAGUUCUACUGAAUUGGGUUUUCCCCAGACGAAAUUCUACAAACUUUCUUAGCAUCAUGCAGAUUUUCCUUUGUAGAUGCCUGUCACCAGAGAAAAAUGCCAUUGUGUUGUGUCAUGCUGAUGCCACGCUGAGACUGGUAACCCUAUCAGCCUGCAGCAAGACUACGGAGUCAGAACCCAAGAACGAUGGCUUUUGGCAUCAUCUUCCCGCUAGUGACUGCAGGAACAUAAACUCCCUGGGGACACGCAGGGGCUCUUUUGGUCUUGUUGAUGGCUAUAUCCACACGGGCCGGCAUGGGGGCACAACCUAGAAGGUAUCCAAUACCUGAAUGGACACACCUCUGAGAAGAAGGCUCAGAAAUGACAAGUUUUCAUCUCAAUGUGACUCCAGCUUUCUGGCAUGUCUUGGUCCAAAGAGCCUCUGCACGUCUCUCCAGAGACAGGCCUGGAACUUGCACCUGUGACGGCCACAUCACUUUGCCCGUGGCUUUCCCCGGCCGUCUGUCCUGGGACAAUGAAUCAAGUGUGUUUGGCAAAUGAAGAUUUUUUUUUUAAGUUUAUUUUUUUUAUUUUGAGAGAGACAGAGAAAGAGAGAGAGAGAGCAGAGGGGCAGAGAGAGAGAAGGAGAGAGGGAGAAUCCCAAGCAAGCUCCACACCGUGAGCACAGAGCCCGAUGCGGGGCUCAAACUCACCAACCUCGAGAUCAUGACCUUAGCUGCUAUCAAGAGUCGGAUGCUUAACUGACUGAGCCACCCAGGUGCCCCCGAAGACUUUUUUUUUUUUUUUAAGAGACUGGAUACCUGCUGAAUCUCCUUUGCAAUUGGAGAAGCGCAAAACUAUGUUAGUUCGGCACAGUUACACACACGUGAGAAAGGGGGAGAGAGAGGAAGUAGGUCCUACAGGAGAAGAAGGCCCAGGAGGGUAACGUCGGCCAGCACACCUUGCCGCCCCCUGAACUGCCUCAGGAACCACCUCUCCCAUUCCGUGACCCUCACUUCCUUGUUUGUCCCCGACCCCCACCCCCCGCAGUGAUUUUGUAAUUUCCAACCCAUCCUUCCUGAAGAUAAAAGGCACCAUGGGCGGGAUCCAUGAAUAAAAGUCGUUAUUUAUCGAUGCCA
Neofelis nebulosa (Clouded leopard) is the source of this 2020-nucleotide long non-coding RNA. RefSeq lists it as uncharacterized. Lineage: Eukaryota; Metazoa; Chordata; Mammalia; Carnivora; Felidae. The record is from RefSeq and is a predicted model, not a curated record. The transcript is spliced from 5 exons.